UACGUAGGGGGCAAGCGUUGUCCGGAUUUAUUGGGCGUAAAGAGCUCGUAGGCGGUUUGGUAAGUCGGAUGUGAAAUCUCCAGGCUCAACCUGGAGGGGUCAUUCGAUGCUGCCAUGACUAGAGUUCGGUAGGGGAGUGUGGAAUUCCUGGUGUAGCAGUGAAAUGCGUAGAGAUCAUGAGGAAGACCAGUGGCGAAGGCGGGUCUCUGGACAGUUCCUGACACUGAGGCACGAAGGCCAGGGGAGCAAACGGG
RNAcentral lists this ribosomal RNA (254 nucleotides) under uncultured bacterium. RNAcentral's name for it is "partial 16S ribosomal RNA". It matches the Rfam family "Bacterial small subunit ribosomal RNA", at positions 524 to 776 of the family's 1533-position model. The record is from RNAcentral.